GAUGAACGCUGGCGGCGUGCCUAAUACAUGCAAGUCGAGCGAACAGACGAGGAGCUUGCUCCUUUGACGUUAGCGGCGGACGGGUGAGUAACACGUGGGUAACCUACCUAUAAGACUGGGAUAACUUCGGGAAACCGGAGCUAAUACCGGAUAAUAUUUCGAACCGCAUGGUUCGAUAGUGAAAGAUGGCUUUGCUAUCACUUAUAGAUGGACCUGCGCCGUAUUAGCUAGUUGGUAAGGUAACGGCUUACCAAGGCAACGAUACGUAGCCGACCUGAGAGGGUGAUCGGCCACACUGGAACUGAGACACGGUCCAGACUCCUACGGGAGGCAGCAGUAGGGAAUCUUCCGCAAUGGGCGAAAGCCUGACGGAGCAACGCCGCGUGAGUGAUGAAGGUCUUCGGAUCGUAAAACUCUGUUAUUAGGGAAGAACAAACGUGUAAGUAACUGUGCACGUCUUGACGGUACCUAAUCAGAAAGCCACGGCUAACUACGUGCCAGCAGCCGCGGUAAUACGUAGGUGGCAAGCGUUAUCCGGAAUUAUUGGGCGUAAAGCGCGCGUAGGCGGUUUUUUAAGUCUGAUGUGAAAGCCCACGGCUCAACCGUGGAGGGUCAUUGGAAACUGGAAAACUUGAGUGCAGAAGAGGAAAGUGGAAUUCCAUGUGUAGCGGUGAAAUGCGCAGAGAUAUGGAGGAACACCAGUGGCGAAGGCGACUUUCUGGUCUGUAACUGACGCUGAUGUGCGAAAGCGUGGGGAUCAAACAGGAUUAGAUACCCUGGUAGUCCACGCCGUAAACGAUGAGUGCUAAGUGUUAGGGGGUUUCCGCCCCUUAGUGCUGCAGCUAACGCAUUAAGCACUCCGCCUGGGGAGUACGACCGCAAGGUUGAAACUCAAAGGAAUUGACGGGGACCCGCACAAGCGGUGGAGCAUGUGGUUUAAUUCGAAGCAACGCGAAGAACCUUACCAAAUCUUGACAUCCUUUGACCCUUCUAGAGAUAGAAGUUUCCCCUUCGGGGGACAAAGUGACAGGUGGUGCAUGGUUGUCGUCAGCUCGUGUCGUGAGAUGUUGGGUUAAGUCCCGCAACGAGCGCAACCCUUAAGCUUAGUUGCCAUCAUUAAGUUGGGCACUCUAAGUUGACUGCCGGUGACAAACCGGAGGAAGGUGGGGAUGACGUCAAAUCAUCAUGCCCCUUAUGAUUUGGGCUACACACGUGCUACAAUGGACAAUACAAAGGGCAGCGAAACCGCGAGGCCAAGCAAAUCCCAUAAAGUUGUUCUCAGUUCGGAUUGUAGUCUGCAACUCGACUACAUGAAGCUGGAAUCGCUAGUAAUCGUAGAUCAGCAUGCUACGGUGAAUACGUUCCCGGGUCU
Molecule: ribosomal RNA, 1372 nt
Filed under: uncultured bacterium
Lineage: Bacteria
Description: bacterial SSU rRNA
Rfam family: Bacterial small subunit ribosomal RNA
Source: RNAcentral